AGUACCAAAAAGACCUAUGUCCACUGGGCCCAUUCAAUAAAUGGUUGAAAGCUGAGUGAGCUGUCAGCUUCACAAGCAAGUCAACUAAGGAUUAAAGAGAGCAGCCUCAUCAUGAAGACCUUCCAGACAGCAGCUUUACCGUAAUUGAUGAACAGUACCUCUGCUCUGCUAUGAGAAGAAAUAACACUCCCUUUCAAUGAACAUUAAUAACUGAUUUCUGUCUCUCUCUCUUAUUUUCCUGUCUUAAUAUUUUUCUAGCAGUUUUUAUGUCACUGGCAUAACAUCAUCAUUGGCAUGAAUCAUCUCAUAGUAAUCUCCGAUAAUACCCAAAUGGGCUUUUUAUUUUAAACAUCUGGACAGCCUUAUGGUGGUUGAGAAUUAAGGUGCUGAGUGAAGAAAACAGCGCAGUCAUAAAGUCUGUCGGAUAAACAAAGCUUUCUCUGGAACAUUAACUCCUUUCCUGAGAAAUCUUCUCUGUUCCUCACAACGCACUUAGUAACUUUACAUCUUCAUCUCCAGAGAUCUCUAUGGCUUCUUCUCAGUCAAGAAUGGAGAAGUAUGAGCAGUCUUUGACACCUCUGAGCCUUCUCAAUUGCGUGCCAUCUGCUGGGUGCCCUCCUUGUCCUCAGUUUCCAGUAAACAUUCCCUCAUUCUCCAAGAUUCAGUUCACAUGUCUUCUUUAGCAGGAGCCUGUCUAGACCCCGCGAGGGAGAGUUGGAAGCUCCCUGCUUCAAGUUACCAUAAAACCACACCAACCCUUCUCACAGUCUUGUCAUUGUACUUAUGGACAUAUGGCCCCAACCAGGCUAUGAGCAACAACUAGGGCUGAGGGUGGGGAGUGUGCAUUAUUUUAUUCUUUGUCACUAUUUCUUCUUCCUUACACAGUGCCUACCACAGAGUUAGGUAUUCAACAUGCAUUUGUGUAUUAGUUUUGUAUUGAUGCAUAACAAGGUACCAUAAACUUUGCAUCUGAAAAUAACACAUAUUAUCUUAGAGUUUCAUAGGUCAAAGGUCCAGGCAGGGCUCGUUGAGUGUCCCAGUUUAGCUCUCACAAUACAGUGCUGAGAUUGGCAUAUAAUAACCAAGAAAAGGAGACCAAGACACAAAAGAAACGAAAAUCAGCUGAGAACAAUUGCGAUAUGACAUGUUGAAAUUAACAUCAUGGACUUUAAAGCAGCUGUGUAACUAUGUUUGUUGAAGUAAAAAGUAUAUUCUCUUUAAUAAAUGAAAAGAUAGAAACUGCAUCACGUAAGGACUUCAUGAGGCAGCUCCCAGCUCUCUCACUGCUCAUCACUUGCUGCUUUGCAAUGCACCCUCCAGCAGCCCUGCUCCGAUUGCCAAUCACUCCACUUGAGACCCUCGCUUGCCUGAAUGCCUUUGUCCAUGCUUUUCCCUUCUUCUGGGAAUCCCCUGCCUCUUUACCUGGAUAACUCAAGCUCUUUCUUUGCAUCUAAAUUUCUACGCAAACCUUACCUAAUUUUCCCAGGCUGCAUGAGGUUUUUUAUGCGUCCUUCAUGCCUUGUGCAUUUUUGUACCUGUGCUACUGUAAAAUUAUAAUACAGUAAACUGCAUGUGUGCAGAGAUCAUCCUUUAACUUGUGAGCUCUUCUGGGGCAAGAGCUUUGCUUAAUUAUGUUUAAUUCAUCUUAUAUCGCCCCAACCUUCUAACAAAAUGUUUGUUGAAUAAAUGUAGG
Callithrix jacchus (white-tufted-ear marmoset) is the source of this 1693-nucleotide long non-coding RNA. RefSeq lists it as uncharacterized. The record is from RefSeq and is a predicted model, not a curated record. NCBI's taxonomy places the organism in Eukaryota, Metazoa, Chordata, Mammalia, Primates, Cebidae.